Molecule: unclassified non-coding RNA, 88 nt
Organism: Ursus americanus (American black bear)
Lineage: Eukaryota; Metazoa; Chordata; Mammalia; Carnivora; Ursidae
Source: Ensembl
CGAAGCCUUACACAGCUCUGAGUAAGCUAACAAAAUAAGAGAAUAAGAUUCUGGUGCUGAGGCGCUGAGUGUGCGACCUUGAUCAUCA